Homo sapiens (human) is the source of this 1757-nucleotide long non-coding RNA. Ensembl annotates it as FTX transcript, XIST regulator. Its record names the gene FTX. Lineage: Eukaryota; Metazoa; Chordata; Mammalia; Primates; Hominidae. The record is from Ensembl.
AAGGUUGCAAAAUGGCGAGGGGGGAGGUGAUGCCACACUCAAUCAGAAACUAUGCUACUGCUGAAGAGGUAUAUUGAGCCCUGCCUGGUUAACCUCCAGUGAGGUUAUUAGAGAAUUGGGAGAGGCUCAAAUCAGCAUCCUGCACCUAGUUAUCAAACCAUUGUGAAGUCUUGAUUCCUGGAUGGCCAGAAAACUUGUCAUUGGUCAAGAGCAACAUUAAGAUCUGCCUGUUACUCAUACUGAUGCUUCCUGCCCAGCAAGUUCAUCAGAGGGCGAGGAUGAAUUACGGUUGCCAUGAAUGUCCUUGUGAGGCAGUUGGGAAGCCUUGGCUGGAUUGUGAAGGAUAUUUGAAAAGUAUUUUAGAGUCCACCAGAUCAUCCAUGUGAGUGACCAUGCAGCAAAAGAAGGAGGGUCCUCUCAGUGAUUAAGGAUUAUGAAGUAUUAAUUCUUCCACUGAUAUCUCAAAAGGUGAUCUGGACAAAGGAACAGGUAUCUCAGAACAGUGGUUGGUAGGAUGGCGGAGACAUGGACUUCAGAGAGUUCUUGGUAGAAGACUCAAAGAGCCACCUGUCAUGAGACAUCCCACUUCCUUCCCCAGGUUACUUCCAAGACUGAGCAGCCAGGUUUUUGGUAGAUGAGAACAAAUGUUUCUUCCUGAAGCCCUGGGGCUUCAGGUAGGAAGAAGGACUGCUAUACUUGUUCUCACCCUUGGCUUCUGGCUGCUCCAGUUAAACAUGGUUCCCAUUGAUACAGACAUUAGAGUGGGAAAGGACUUCGUUCAUAGACCGAAGACCCUCAAAGGAAAGUCCUUCCAUUUUGGGAAGGGUGACAUUGAUUUCGUUUAGCUGCUUAAGAUAUGUACUUGCUGUUGUCUUGUGAGACAUGACAUCUGAAGCUGAAGAGGAGUCCCUCUCAUUGUUGUCAUUGUCCCACCGGGACUGAAAGUCUCCCAGUUGAGGCAGCAUUUUAGCUUUGAUGUCUACAGGGCAAUCAUGGAUCAGGAAAUUUCUGCAAAUUAGACUUGGAAAACAAGGUCUUGAUCCUUCUUGUCUUUGGACGAAGACUAAUCAUCACUUUUGACUGAAGGUGUAGUGCUGGAGACUAUGUUGGAGGCAGCACCUGAUGCACUAUCCAUAUUCUUCCCCUUGAUCUUGUCUUAAAGUUUUCCAAAUGGAUUCCGAGGCUUGUCUUUGAUGAAAAGGUCAAACAUACUGGCAGUCAUGUUGUUUCUCAUAAGCUGGAUGUCAACCUCAAUUUCUCCUCUUUAUCCUUCUCUCCUGGUUUGGAUUUCAAGGUAUACCACCGCAUCUUCCUGCUCCCCUAGUCUGGGUGCAGGUCCUGCAGGUACACCUCGGCGAAGCCCAAGUACAGUAGCAGCAGCACCUCAAAGGUGGCCUCCUCCUCUGACACUGAGGUGGCAUACUUCUCCUUACCCACCUGAAUCACCGAGUACAUGUUGCUUGUACCGUCAGGCUCUUGGUUCUUGGCCCCUGGCCCUAUGCCUGCAACACUGUCACCUGCACGUGGAUUGGGAACCACAUAGCCCCCGGACCUGCUAAGGCCAUUAAGGACAGGAUGGUGAUGCCUCGGCUGACUGACGUGAGAAGAUUGUCAUGACCCAUGGCCUCUACUGCUGUCCUACCAACAGAAACUUCAUAAUGUUGUGCAGGCGUUACCACUACCUAGUUCCAGAACAUUGCCAUCACCCCCAAAAUAAAUCUUGCAUUCAUUAAGCAGUCACCCCUAUUUUCCCCCAU